AUUUACCCUUUAUUGUCACAUGAUAAUACUAAUUUACAUUUUAUAAACAAGGUUUGUCCCUCUCUAUGUCUAUAUAUUAAAAGGAAGGCAGAAAAGAAGAAUCCAAUGGAAAUAAGAAGACGGGCAAGUGCAAGCUGCCGUGGGUACUGGCAGGUGGACCAGCUGGUUUACAUCGAGAGACGUGGGGACUAGGGGAAAAGAUGCUGCUUUGCAGCUGGAGGAAAGCAGCAAGGAGCGGACGUGACUGGGGGGAGUCAAAAACGAAAAAGAAUAAAAUAAGAAAAGAAACGGGCAGACAAAAUGAAGAGGCCAAGUAGGUGAGAAAGGCAGAAAGAAUAAAAAACAGCUGCCUUUGGCAGCUGGCGUGACUGACAGAAGAGAGAAAUAAAUAAAAAAAAGGGAAAACAUGUGGGCUUGGCAGAGAGAGAUAGAGAAGAAGAAAGAUAUAAAAAUAAGAAGAGGCUGGCGUGAUUAAGGGGGUCGGGGGGAGCGGGAGAAAGGGGCUGCCCUUUGGGCAGCUCGCAGAGACGCAGGAACCAAAGCUGCCUUAGGCAGAGGAAAAACGGAAAGACUGGCGGGGAGAGAGAGGGAGACACUUGUGAAACCAGAGGAGAGAGCAGUCAGCGUGGAAGGCUGACGGAGCAGGGCGCGGACAGAAUAAGAAAAUAAGAAGGGAAGAACGCUGCCCUUUGGCAGUGAGGUCAGGGAGAGCUGGAAGGCAGGCGCACGGACAGACUGAAGCAUCCUCCUCUUUCGGUUUAAUCUUUCCAAACUUCUAUUUUAUUUUUGUUUUAAUAAUGUGUAAUUAAAUUUAUUUUGGCUAGAGGUUAAUUCAAAGCCAUGGAUAUAUUUGUAAUAUGAAUUGAUUACCUUCGGUUGUGAUUUCAUAAGUUGUGAAUUCAAUUUACUUAUCCGUU
Molecule: long non-coding RNA, 917 nt
Filed under: Malus domestica (apple)
Lineage: Eukaryota; Viridiplantae; Streptophyta; Magnoliopsida; Rosales; Rosaceae
Description: long non-coding RNA (MDOM_LNC010487)
Source: RNAcentral